AGGGAAUCUUCCACAAUGGACGGAAGUCUGAUGGAACAACGCCGCGUGAGUGAUGAAGGUUUUCGGAUCGUAAAACUCUGUUGUAAGGGAAGAACCAGUACGUCAGGCACUGGACGUAACUUGACGGUACCUUAUUAGAAAGCCACGGCUAACUACGUGCCAGCAGCCGCGGUAAUACGUAGGUGGCAAGCGUUGUCCGGAAUUAUUGGGUUUAAAGGGAGCGUAGGCGGACUAUUAAGUCAGCUGUGAAAGUUUACGGCUCAACCGUGAAAUUGCAGUUGAAACUGGUCGUCUUGAGUGCAGUAAAGGUGGGCGGAAUUCGUGGUGUAGCGGUGAAAUGCUUAGAUAUCACGAAGAACUCCAAUUGCGAAGGCAGCUCACUGGCGUGUAACUGACGCUGAUGCUCGAAAGUGUGGGUAUCAAACA
Molecule: ribosomal RNA, 426 nt
Filed under: uncultured bacterium
Lineage: Bacteria
Description: bacterial SSU rRNA
Rfam family: Bacterial small subunit ribosomal RNA
Source: RNAcentral